Molecule: non-coding RNA, 2121 nt
Organism: Sus scrofa (pig)
Lineage: Eukaryota; Metazoa; Chordata; Mammalia; Artiodactyla; Suidae
Source: RefSeq, a predicted model, not a curated record
UCUUUUGCCCUGAGAAGAAUUUUCAAGACUAAACCUUUCUACCUAUUGGAGAGGCUGAUUGUUAUUGAAGCAUGUGAAACAACGAAGACUAUGGGAAUCCUACUGUGUUUUUCUCCCAUGAGCCCUCCCCAUGGCCCCAGCCUUAUGAUUGGAAUAGCAACCCUAACUAGAGGAAGAAGUGGAGCAACACCUUUUGAUGACCAGAGGGAGGAAGGAAGCCUUGCUGCAAGCUGGUCAGGUAUGACAAAGACGUGCCCUUUGAGGUGCUGGAAUUGACUCUUGAGUUUCAAGAUUCUCAAAUUCAAAAUCCUCUCAAGCUCAAAAAGUCAAGUCCGCAUUUGAUUACUGAAAACCUGCAUUUCCUCUAACUAGUGUCCUGAUGCUUAGUAAUGGAACCUUGACUUGAUGUCCAGCCUUCUUGAGAACGCAAUCCUUAUGCCAAGAACUCGACUACCUACUGAGGGAAUGAGACUGGAUUCUGCUCUUAUGAGCCUCCGUUCCCCUUGAAUCCCCAUCACCAAUCCUGAGCCCCUUAGGGUGCAGGAGUCCUGCUGCCAUGGGGCAAUGUGCCUGUGCAGAGUGGUUGCCUGGCUUCCAGAAUUAUUGUUUCACCUCUUCCCUCGCUGUAUUCUGCCUGCUGGAUCUCCUCUCUCUACAGCAGCUAGAGAACCAUCCCACCCGAAAUAAAGGCUUGGAUGAAAGCUAAUGCCAGCUGAAGAUGGAGGAUUAGGGCCCAGGUUUGAGAGUCCCCUGAGGCCACUAAGAAUUUACCCACUUAACAGCUCUGCAUUUGCAAGGGACCGUGACAAAACAUAGAAUCUACAACCACUUUUCAGCUUUAGAAAAAAUACUCUCAGGAAAAAGUACAUUUCUGUUUCUAUCAAAGUUUGUUUCAAAAAAGGUAAAAAUGCUAUUCAAGUCUUCCUUCUAGCAUUAAUCUUACUCUUCAGACUAAUUUACAUGACAUAAAGACUUCUUGUUCUAUUGCCUUCUGCAAAUAUAUAUAUUUACAUAUGAGUAUUCUAUAUUCCCUGAUAUUUCAGCUGUUCUAGAACUUCCAUACUUCCUAAGCAUCCUUGACUAUACUGAAAAAGUGCUGGCUAAUGCCAAUUCUCUUCUACCUGACAGCCAUCCUUCAUUUCUGAGCGUGUGUUUAAAGUUAAGCCAGUGGAGGUCUGAUGGGUAGAUCUGAGUUCACAUCAGUCCAUCAGAUAAGAAAACAUCUGAGAGCCCCUCCCCCCAGCUUUUCGACAGCACAGUGCGGGUGAAACGUCCACCUUCGGCUCAAUCUUGCGCUGAACUUCUCUGGAGCCUCAUCAGUUUCUUCUACAUUAAAUGUGGACAGUGGGUAUAACUUGCAAGGUUUUUGUACAGAGUAAGAUGUCGAGCUGAAUAGGAGUCUGGGAAGACGCCAGACGCCUAGAAGGUAGAAAAGCGCUAAGCAGUCAGGCUCUCCUCAAACUCACAGGAAUUGCUUCUCACUGGCCUCGUGGGGGCAGCACUGCCCACUCCUCUGGGCACUGGCACAUGGGGGGAGUGUUGACCUGGGGACUGUGAGCUGGAACCUGGACUCCCUGCCCCACCUGUCAGUCAGUCCUCGGUGCAAAUGAGGAUUCUGAGCAGUGCUUUCUAUUCCAGGACGGUCCCUGCCCUUCCUCGCUGUACCCCCUCCCCCUGCGCCUCUGUGUCUGGAUCAUCCCCCUGCCCCCAAAAGCUUUAUUUCAGUGCCCAGUUUGCUCCCGCCUUUUUGGUUAACCUAUAACUCAUUAACUAAUACAGCUCUUUCUAAUUCACAAGUUUCCUAUCCAUCAAGCCAUCUUAACAAGAAAAUCAGCCCUCAUCAAACACAAGAGGAAUCUUUGCAAAUUGAUAGAAAAAAAGAAAAUUGGUAGAAAAGAAGAUCUUUGUCAGGUCGAGAAUUUUCCCUUAAUUGCUGGCCCCCUGGAGUUGCUGCCUUAUGUUCCCUGGUGGCCUCCAGUCCCCAGGGGUCACAAGGCAACCGGGGGCACUGACCUAAGGCGGGGAUGAGUUUGCUGUGGGGCAAGUGCAGUAAAGGAGUAGAAUUGCUCCAGUUUUCACCUUUCAUUAGGCUACCUGAGGAUGGAGAAAACUUUCUCCCUC